RNAcentral lists this ribosomal RNA (671 nucleotides) under Phytophthora infestans T30-4. RNAcentral describes it as "28S ribosomal RNA". The stretch from base 115 to 671 matches the Rfam family "Eukaryotic large subunit ribosomal RNA", at positions 1 to 524 of the family's 3401-position model. Lineage: Eukaryota; Oomycota; Peronosporomycetes; Peronosporales; Peronosporaceae. The record is from RNAcentral.
CUCUUUAGCUUGGCAUUUGAAUCGGCUUUGCUGUUGCGAAGUAGAGUGGCGGCUUCGGCUGCCGAGGGUCGAUCCAUUUGGGAAAUGUUGUGUACUUCGGUAUGCAUCUCAAUUGGACCUGAUAUCAGGCAAGAUUACCCGCUGAACUUAAGCAUAUUAAUAAGCGGAGGAAAAGAAACUAACAAGGAUUCCCCUAGUAACGGCGAGUGAAGCGGGAAGAGCUCAAGCUUAAAAUCUCCGUGCAAGUUUUGCGCGGCGAAUUGUAGUCUAUAGAGGCGUGAUCAGUGUGGGCGCUUGGGGCAAGUUCCUUGGAAGAGGACAGCAUGGAGGGUGAUACUCCCGUUCAUCCCUGAGUUGCUCGUGCGUACGAUCCGUUUUCUUUGAGUCGCGUUGUUUGGGAAUGCAGCGCAAAGUAGGUGGUAAAUUCCAUCUAAAGCUAAAUAUUGGUGCGAGACCGAUAGCGAACAAGUACCGUGAGGGAAAGAUGAAAAGAACUUUGAAAAGAGAGUUAAAGAGUACCUGAAACUGCUGAAAGGGAACCGAAUCGUUUCCAGUGUCUAUAAUCCGUGGUAUAUUUCAUUGGCGAGUGUGUGCGUGCGUGUGCUGUGGCAGCGGCUUUUUUGGCUGCGCUCGGCGUGUGUGCUGUGUGUGCUUGCUGGUGCCCUGUGCUG